GUGGGGAAUUUUGGACAAUGGGCGCAAGCCUGAUCCAGCGACGCCGCGUGGAGGACGAAGGCCUUCGGGUUGUAAACUCCUUUUGGAGGGGAAGAAUAAAUUGACGGUACCCUCAGAAAAAGCCACGGCUAACUACGUGCCAGCAGCCGCGGUAAUACGUAGGUGGCGAGCGUUACUCGGAAUUACUAGGCGUAAAGCGUAUGUAGGUGGUUAGAUAAGUCUAUGGUGAAAUUUCCUGGCUUAACUGGGAAGGGACAUAGAUACUAUCUGGAUUGAGUGUGGGAGGGGGAGACGGAAUUCCUGGUGUAGCGGUGAAAUGCGUAGAUAUCAGGAGGAACACCGAUGGCGAAAGCAGUCUCCUGGCCAAAUACUGACGCUGAGGUACGAAAGCUAGGGUAGCAAACAGGAUUAGAAACCCCAGUAGUCC
RNAcentral lists this ribosomal RNA (427 nucleotides) under uncultured bacterium. RNAcentral describes it as "partial 16S ribosomal RNA". It matches the Rfam family "Bacterial small subunit ribosomal RNA", at positions 354 to 796 of the family's 1533-position model. The record is from RNAcentral.